Molecule: ribosomal RNA, 419 nt
Filed under: uncultured bacterium
Lineage: Bacteria
Description: bacterial SSU rRNA
Rfam family: Bacterial small subunit ribosomal RNA
Source: RNAcentral
AGGAAUAUUGGUCAAUGGACGCAAGUCUGAACCAGCCAUGCCGCGUGAAGGAUGAAGGUCCUCUGGAUUGUAAACUUCUUUUAUCUGGGACGAAAACGGGAUUUUUAUCUCAAUUGACGGUACCAGAGGAAUAAGCACCGGCUAACUACGUGCCAGCAGACGCGGUAAUACGUAGGCAGCAAGCGUUGUUCGGAGUUACUGGGCGUAAAGAGUGCGUAGGCGGUUUUCUAAGUUCCGUGUGAAAUCUCCCGGCUUAACUGGGAGGGUGCGACGAAGACUGGGAAGCUGGAGUGUGGGAAAGGCCGGCGGAAUUCCUGGUGUAGCGGUGAAAUGCGUAGAUAUCAGGAGGAACACCGGCGGUGUAGACGGCUUGCUAGACCAUAACUGACGCUGAGGCACGAAAGCGUGGGUAGCAAACA